Molecule: ribosomal RNA, 460 nt
Filed under: uncultured bacterium
Lineage: Bacteria
Description: partial 16S ribosomal RNA
Rfam family: Bacterial small subunit ribosomal RNA
Source: RNAcentral
CCUACGGGAGGCAGCAGUGAGGAAUAUUGGUCAAUGGACGAGAGUCUGAACCAGCCAAGUAGCGUGAAGGAUGACUGCCCUAUGGGUUGUAAACUUCUUUUAUAUGGGAAUAAAAUGAUCCACGUGUGGGAUUUUGUAUGUACCAUAUGAAUAAGGAUCGGCUAACUCCGUGCCAGCAGCCGCGGUAAUACGGAGGAUCCGAGCGUUAUCCGGAUUUAUUGGGUUUAAAGGGAGCGUAGGUGGAUUGUUAAGUCAGUUGUGAAAGUUUGCGGCUCAACCGUAAAAUUGCAGUUGAAACUGGCAGUCGUGAGUACAGUAGAGGUGGGCGGAAUUCGUGGUGUAGCGGUGAAAUGCUUAGAUAUCACGAAGAACUCCGAUUGCGAAGGCAGCUCACUGGACUGCAACUGACACUGAGGCUCGAAAGUGUGGGUAUCAAACAGGAUUAGAUACCCCAGUAGUC